ACCCAGAUAGCUCAGUUGGUAGAGCAGCGGACUGAAAAUCCGCGUGUCGGUGGUUCGAUUCCGCCUCUGGGUGCCA
Molecule: transfer RNA, 76 nt
Filed under: Candidatus Tokpelaia sp. JSC085
Lineage: Bacteria; Pseudomonadati; Pseudomonadota; Alphaproteobacteria; Hyphomicrobiales
Description: tRNA-Phe
Rfam family: tRNA
About the family: Transfer RNA (tRNA) molecules are approximately 80 nucleotides in length. Their secondary structure includes four short double-helical elements and three loops (D, anti-codon, and T loops). Further hydrogen bonds mediate the characteristic L-shaped molecular structure. tRNAs have two regions of fundamental functional importance: the anti-codon, which is responsible for specific mRNA codon recognition, and the 3' end, to which the tRNAs corresponding amino acid is attached (by aminoacyl-tRNA synthetases). tRNAs cope with the degeneracy of the genetic code in two manners: having more than one tRNA (with a specific anti-codon) for a particular amino acid; and 'wobble' base-pairing, i.e. permitting non-standard base-pairing at the 3rd anti-codon position.
Source: RNAcentral